GCAUAACGCGAAGAACCUUACCGGGGCUUGACAUCUUUCUGACCGCCUGGGAAACCAGGUCUUCUUCCUUCGGGAAGACGGAAAGACAGGUGGUGCAUGGUUGUCGUCAGCUCGUGUCGUGAGAUGUUGGGUUAAGUCCCACAACGAGCGCAACCUUUGUCCUUAUUUGCCAGCCUGUUUACAGGCGUACUUUAAGGAGACUGCCGUAGAUAAUACGGAGGAAGGUGGGGAUGACGUCAAAUCCUCAUGCCCCUUACGUCCCGGGCUACACACGUGCUACAAUGGUCUGUACAGAGGGUAGCCAAGAAGCAAUUCGGAGCCAAUCCCAAAAAGCAGGCCCCAGUUCGGAUUGGAGGCUGCAACUCGCCUCCAUGAAGUCGGAAUCGCUAGUAAUCGCGGAUCAGCACGCCGCGGUGAAUCCGUUCCCGGGUCUUGUACACACCG
This 444-nucleotide ribosomal RNA is filed under the name uncultured bacterium. Its description in RNAcentral is "bacterial SSU rRNA". It matches the Rfam family "Bacterial small subunit ribosomal RNA", at positions 954 to 1392 of the family's 1533-position model. The record is from RNAcentral.